UAGGGAAUCUUCGGCAAUGGGGGGAACCCUGACCGAGCAACGCCGCGUGAGUGAAGAAGGUUUUCGGAUCGUAAAGCUCUGUUGUUAAGGAAGAACGAGUGUGAGAAUGGAAAGUUCAUGCUGUGACGGUACUUAACCAGAAAGGGACGGCUAACUACGUGCCAGCAGCCGCGGUAAUACGUAGGUCCCGAGCGUUGUCCGGAUUUAUUGGGCGUAAAGCGAGCGCAGGCGGUUAGAAAAGUCUGAAGUGAAAGGCAGUGGCUCAACCAAUGUAGGCUUUGGAAACGGUGUAACUGGAGUGCAGAAGGGGAGAGUGGAAUUCCAUGUGUAGCGGUGAAAUGCGUAGAUAUAUGGAGGAACACCGGUGGCGAAAGCGGCUCUCUGGUCUGUAACUGACGCUGAGGCUCGAAAGCGUGGGGAGCGAACAGG
This 429-nucleotide ribosomal RNA is filed under the name Bacteroidota bacterium. RNAcentral describes it as "Bacteroidetes bacterium partial 16S ribosomal RNA". It matches the Rfam family "Bacterial small subunit ribosomal RNA", at positions 355 to 776 of the family's 1533-position model. The record is from RNAcentral. Lineage: Bacteria; Pseudomonadati; Bacteroidota.